AUUGAACGCUGGCGGCAUGCCUUACACAUGCAAGUCGAACGGUAACAGGUCUUCGGAUGCUGACGAGUGGCGAACGGGUGAGUAAUACAUCGGAACGUGCCUAGUAGUGGGGGAUAACUACUCGAAAGAGUGGCUAAUACCGCAUGAGAUCUACGGAUGAAAGCAGGCGCACGCAAGACCUCGUGUUACUAGAGCGGCCGAUGGCAGAUUAGGUAGUUGGUGGGAUAAAAGCUUACCAAGCCGACGAUCUGUAGCUGGUCUGAGAGGACGAUCAGCCACACUGGGACUGAGACACGGCCCAGACUCCUACGGGAGGCAGCAGUGGGGAAUUUUGGACAAUGGGCGAAAGCCUGAUCCAGCAAUGCCGCGUGCAGGAUGAAGGCCUUCGGGUUGUAAACUGCUUUUGUACGGAACGAAAAGCCCCGGGUUAAUACCCUGGGGUCAUGACGGUACCGUAAGAAUAAGCACCGGCUAACUACGUGCCAGCCGCCGCCGUAA
RNAcentral lists this ribosomal RNA (498 nucleotides) under uncultured bacterium. Its description in RNAcentral is "partial 16S ribosomal RNA". It matches the Rfam family "Bacterial small subunit ribosomal RNA", at positions 30 to 523 of the family's 1533-position model. The record is from RNAcentral.